AGAAGACACGGUUACACUUUAAAGCGGCCAUAUUAUGCACAUUUUCAUGUUCAUAAUUGUAAUUUGAGGUUGUAACAGAAUUGGUUUACAUGGAUUCAUUUUCAAAUAACACCAUAUUUUAGUUUUAUUGCACAUUGCUGCAGCGCCUCUUUUCACCCUGUGUGUGUUGAGCUCUCUGUUUUAGCUACAGAGUCAGGCAUCUCACUUCUGUUCCAUCUUUGUUGGGAGCCGCACAUGCGCAGUAACCUAGGUUAGCACUGCUAGCCAGUCAGAAGCAGCCAAGUAGGAGGGCGUGCCACACUAGCUGCUAGGCGAUCAUUGUAACGUGUGUUACAAAGUGACAAGUGUUAAAGGUUGGACUACAAUAGAGCUGUUUGGAGAAGUUUGUGAACAGUGUUUUCUCUUGGAGAUGGUAAGUACCUUUUGGGUGGACUUUGGGCUUUUUCACUUAAGACUAAACCUAUUACAUGCGCAAAAAAUAUUUAACACAACAAAGGGAAGGGAAAAAGCAUAAUAUGAGCUCUUUAAACUUAGUGUUGCGUCUCCAGAUUUUUUUUUUAAGUAAAAAACAUUGAAUUUUCUUUUUUUAUUUAUGUUAUGUAUGCCUUAAGUAGUGUAGUUUUGUGAAACGGUGUGAUUGAUGGGUUUAUUCUUACAUAAGAUUAAGGAUCCACAGAGGGUUUUACAGCAGACAGUGAGAUGCUGAUUUCUUUGGACACAGCUCCAAGAUUUCACAACUCAAAAGACAGAACCCAUGACAAUCUAACAUCCUGUAAAUGGAGGUGAGCUUACCCUCCACAACGCCUGCACACUGUUAAUAUUUGUAAUAUUUCUGAAGUGUGUACAUUUUUGGACGGUCACAUACCAUUUCACUUAAACUUAGAAACCACAUUAUUCAAAAAGAACUGCCAUGAUUGCAUAGACAUCUGUUCUCCAACCAUGUAUUACACUUUUUUUUUCUUUUUUUUUUAAUAUAUGAUUGUAUUUGCUAUGUGUGAUUAUUCAUCUCUGUGUUCUGUGCCUGUAGAUCAGGGAUAUGUCAAAAGAGUUAUUUUUGGGGGGUGGGGGAUCACAUCCAUUUCAUGUUAGAGCAUGAGUUUGUCAAUGCUGAACUUGUGUGCAUUAAAGCCAUACUAAAGCCACCCACUUUACCCCUAGCAGUAAUCACUGUUGAACAUAAACUGUAAGAUGGAGGAACAGACUUGUUUGAAUCGGCACCGUCUGUAUCACAUCCGACAAGGCCUUUAUUAAUUAAUUGUUGCCAAGUGGACUAAAAACUGGCUUUUUAAGCGGGAUCUGUAAAAAUAGACAACUGAACUUGAGUUUCUAAUGUUGUCCUUACUCUACCUUUUGUACUAUUCUGACACAUGAUAAUGGAAAUAAACACAACACUGAA
Etheostoma cragini (Arkansas darter) is the source of this 1396-nucleotide long non-coding RNA. RefSeq lists it as uncharacterized. The record is from RefSeq and is a predicted model, not a curated record. NCBI's taxonomy places the organism in Eukaryota, Metazoa, Chordata, Actinopteri, Perciformes, Percidae. The transcript has 2 exons.